GACGAACGCUGGCGGCGUGCUUAACACAUGCAAGUCGAACGGAAAGGCCCUGCUUUUGUGGGGUUCUCGAGUGGCGAACGGGUGAGUAACACGUGAGUAACCUGCCCUUGACUUUGGGAUAACUUCAGGAAACUGGGGCUAAUACCGGAUAGGAGCUCCUGCUGCAUGGUGGGGGUUGGAAAGUUUCGGCGGUUGGGGAUGGACUCGCGGCUUAUCAGGUUGUUGGUGGGGUAGUGGCUUACCACGGCUUUGGCGGGUCGCCGGCCUGGGAGGGUGACCGGCAACAUUGGGCCUGGGAUACGGCCCGGCCUCCUACGGGAGGCAGCGGUGGGGAAUAUGGCACAAUGGGCGGAGGCCUAUUGCAGCAACGCCGCGUGCGGGAUAACGGCCUUCGGGUUGUAAACCGCUUUCGCCUGUGACGAGGCGUGAGUGACGGUAAUGAGUAAAGAAGCACCGGCUAACUACGUG
Molecule: ribosomal RNA, 468 nt
Filed under: uncultured bacterium
Lineage: Bacteria
Description: partial 16S ribosomal RNA
Rfam family: Bacterial small subunit ribosomal RNA
Source: RNAcentral